UUCUGUCCCGAAUAAUUAAAGUUUUAGGUCAAAGGGCUCCAUCAACAGUUAGCUAGUCUUCUUGUAGUUUUAUCCUUGUGCUUUUCUGUUGUGGUGCUUGUAAACAGUUUCUGUAGCAUCUUGUAUGUGCCGUUCUCGGGUUUUUAGUUUUUCUUUCUCGUUGUACGGAUUGUUGUAAUUCCUGACCGGUUGAUGGCUUUGUUAAUUCAAAGUCGGGCUCUUUUUGUGCCUUCUUUCUAAAAAAGUUAAAGUUUUCCGACUUUUAUAUGGAUGUUUCGUGUUGCAUUUUUGU
Molecule: long non-coding RNA, 292 nt
Filed under: Hordeum vulgare
Lineage: Eukaryota; Viridiplantae; Streptophyta; Magnoliopsida; Poales; Poaceae
Description: long non-coding RNA (HVUL_LNC017911)
Source: RNAcentral